RNAcentral lists this ribosomal RNA (560 nucleotides) under uncultured archaeon. Its description in RNAcentral is "bacterial SSU rRNA". It matches the Rfam family "Archaeal small subunit ribosomal RNA", at positions 322 to 882 of the family's 1478-position model. The record is from RNAcentral.
AUUACGGGGUGCAGCAGGCGCGAAAACUGGCCAAUGCGCGAAAGCGUGAGCCGGCUAAUCCGAGUGAUAGCCCAUCGGCUAUCUUUUGUCAAGUGUUCACAGCUUGGCGAAUAAUGAGGGGGCAAGACUGGUGCCAGCCGCCGCGGUAAAACCAGCUCUUAGAGUGGUGAUCAUGUUUAUUUGGCUUAAAGUGUGCGUAGCAGGACAGCGUAAGUCCCCUGUGAAAUGCUCGGUCUUAAGCUGAGCGCGGGCAGGGGAUACUGUGCGUCUUGGGACCGGGAUAGGUGUAAUGUACGCGUUGGGUAGGGGUGAAAUCCGAUAAUCCAACGCGGACAACCGGUGGCGAAGGCGUUACACUGGAACGGGUCCGACUGUGAGGCACGAAAGCUAGGGUCGCGAGCCGGAUUAGAUACCCGGGUAGUCCUAUGCUGUAAACGAUGCGGGCUAGGUGUAGGGGCAGCUACGAGCUGCUCCUGUGCCGCAGAGAAAUUGUUAAGCCCGCCGCCUGGGGAGUACGAUCGCAAGAUUGAAACUUAAAGGAAUUGGCGGGGGAGCACAAU